RNAcentral lists this long non-coding RNA (1725 nucleotides) under Homo sapiens (human). RNAcentral describes it as "HSALNT0332160". Lineage: Eukaryota; Metazoa; Chordata; Mammalia; Primates; Hominidae. The record is from RNAcentral.
UUCAUGUCCCCACGGUGGCAUCUGCUUCCCAGGCUGUGGGGCCAGCAAGGGGCUCAGCUGCUCCCCAGCCCUGCCUUCCUCCAUGGAUCUGACAUGACUCUUUUAUGGGAAUUUACGUAAAAGUAACGCCUUGCUCAGUGUGGAAAAUUUAGGAGCUUCAGGAAAAUAUAAAGAAAAUUAAGGAAGUCAUCUCGCUUCUCAAAUACCGUGUUAAUUUGGGAGAGCACCUGCCAGGCAGCAGUGUCGCUCAGCUUAUGCGCAGCCAGCUUGGGGACUACAGCAGCUCAUCCUAACAAGAGACCAGAACUUCAGGCUGGUCUGAGGCAUGUGCCCACCUCUGGGUCACACGUCAUUCUUGAAGCAGUGGGCAAGUCAAAUAUCCCCACCCCUCCUGCACAGAAAAGGGGAGGAUCCCAAGAAGAGAAUGUGGGGGCUGCCUCCAGGAGGAGAAGAAAGACUUGUGGGUCCACUGCAGACAUCCAGGUGGAGAUGUCUGGAGCCCAGGGGUCGGGUAAGAGCUACAGCCAGGUUGGGGUUAUUGUGGGAGGAGCCGUAGGAGUGAAUGAGAUCAGGAAAGGUGGCCGGGGUAGACCUAGGACCUAGGGACCUAGGAAAGAGACAGACACGCUGGGGAAGAAGCGUCAGAGGACAGAGGGUGAGACGCUUGAAAAGGAAGUGGGCGAGAACAGUGUUGCCUAAAAAGAGGGAGCCCAGUUCCCUGAAGGUGAGGGUGAAGACAGGCCAUUGGGCUGAGACGAUGGGCAAAGGGCAGGGUGUGGGCAGAGCUGGUUUGGGACCCAGAGCAGUGGAAGGGCAGAGCAGCCCUUGCCGAGACCAAGGGACAGCAGGGCUGAAUGACCGCAAUGCAGCACCCGCUUCGCUUUGCAAAUAAAAUGCGGACUGCGCGAGAAAGCCUGGCUUUUAGCGUCCAUGCGUGUCCAGGAACAGCGACCAGGGCAAGUGCUUGAGUGCGCCAGGCUGGGCGAGGCAGGGAGGGACUGAGGGCUGGGUCCGGGGGAGAGGAGUGGCCAGGGAGGAGGGGCGACCCAAAGGCCUCCGGUGAUGCGCUGACAGAAGGUAAAAACAAGGAACAAAGCAAAACCACACACAGGACGGCAGCGCGGAGUCCGGGCCCUGCCCUCUGCAGCAGCGCAGCCCGGGGACUCUGGGGCUCUCCCUGCUGCCUGUGGAAUUUCCAGGCCAGCGCAUCUGAUUGGCCUGGCCUGGGGCAGUGGGUGGGGAUUUGGAUGUUUCCAGAGAAGGGAAGAUGGCGGUGAGACAGCCGCUCGGCAGCUCCAGAGGGGUCGAUCCCGCGACAGGGGAAGGGGGCGUGGGCGUCACAUGGCAGCGCUGAGACUUGAGUGCUGGAACAGCCCAGCGAGGAAGGUCCCAAAGACAGCUCUUUUCACCAGAGACAGGCCGUGCGUUUGCGGUGCGGGCUCCACCCGCAGUUCUGCUUCAGGCUUCUCCAGCUUUCUGGCAAUACCAAGGGGCAGACCCGGGAAUGGGUUGUUCAGUCACUGCUGUACCGCCCAUGAGCGGCAGAGGGCAGCAAAACACACUCAUCGGACGGGCAUCAAGGGAGCCUGAGGAUAACCAGGUAUGCUUUAAAAUGUUUUCGCAUCAUUUAGGGAACUCUUGCAGAGGAGAAAUACUACAGAUUUAAAAUUAUGAAACCAAAAAAACCACAGACACGAGUAACUAUUUAUUCUCCUUAUGAGAAAC